This 253-nucleotide ribosomal RNA is filed under the name uncultured bacterium. RNAcentral describes it as "partial 16S ribosomal RNA". It matches the Rfam family "Bacterial small subunit ribosomal RNA", at positions 524 to 776 of the family's 1533-position model. The record is from RNAcentral.
UACGUAGGCAGCGAGCGUUAUCCGGAUUUACUGGGCGUAAAGGGUGUGCAGGCUGCCCCUCAAGUGGUGUAUGAAAGGGCUCGGCUCAACCGGGCUAGGUUAUGCCAGACUGAGGGGCUAGAGAGCGAGAGCGGGACGUGGAAUUCCGGGUGUAGUGGUGAAAUGCGUAGAUAUCUGGAGGAACAUCGGUGGCGAAGGCGGCAUCCUGGACCGGUAUUGACGCUGAGGCGCGAAAGCCAGGGGAGCAAACGGG